GCGGGAGCGCGCGGCCUGCGUUCCUGCCUCGCCCGCCUCCUCGCGGCGCCCCGCCUCACCCUUCUCUGUGCUCGUCCCGGCCGUACGCGGCCGUUAGCGCCGCCGCCGCUUCAAUUUAUCCGUCAGUCGGGCGGCGGGAGAGAGCGCGAGAGGCGCUGGCGCCCGCUCUUUGGCUGAAGCGGCGACCGCGGGGGCGGAGGUGCGGGGGAUAGCCGGUCCGGGCCGUCCUCUCUCCCCAGCCGCGGGGAGGAGGGAGGCCGAGGAGGGAGAAGGCGGAGGCUGAGCCCACUCCCCUUUAGGUCCGCUCCUCUGAGUGACUGCUGUCCGCGAGGAGGGGGAGGAAGGGGCGAGUCUCUCUGCAGCCCUCAUCGAGCCGCCGCCUGCCCAGGCCUCUGAUCGGCCCUGCGGGCGGCGCUGAAGCGGGCGUCGGCGGGGCGCGCGGGCCGCGUGAGCCCGGGCUCUGCAGCACACGGGGUGUCUGUGUCUUCAGACUAAUUUAAGAUACAGUCCUGAGAAAGUUGAGACACAAGGAAUUGCAUACAGAACUACUACUUUCCGCCAGUAUUCUUUUUCCUCUUUCCUAUCCCUCUUCUUCCAUAAGGGAGUACAGCUUAGGAUUUUAGGUCCGUUCAUCCCACAGAAAUCUACCUUAUUCUUUAAGGGAUAGGCUAGACGUUGCCUGUUAUAGUAUCAGGAGAACGUUAUUCGUUGCUUGCUGAGGGAGCUUUAUUUGUAUAUUUGGAGUGCAGUGUAGAGAGGCAUCCAGGAGGCUUCCUUGCCCUCCCUUUUUGAGUAAUAGUGGAUUCAGGAAAAAGGGUGCUUACGGAGACACGUGACCUCGUCAAAGGACCCAAGACUGAAGCAGCACUUGGCACACUGAAGGAAGCACCCGCUUAUCUUUUGGCAUCUUUUUUUGUCUGCUGCUGGUUCCUCACCAAUUUCGGGUAAUUCCAUUGAAAAGAAACCUUGAAGGUUGCAAGAAAAAUCCAAGAUGUGCAGUUCAGUUGCUCCCAGAUUGUGGUUCUUAACAGACCGUCGCAUCAGAGAAGAUUACCCUCAGCAGGAGAUCCUGAGAGCGUUGAAGGCCAAGUGCUGUGAAGAAGAGCUGGAUUUCCGGGCCUUGCUGAUGGAUGAAGUGGUGCUGACAGUCGAGGAUGGAAAUCUUGGUCUUCGGGUGAACGGGGAGCUUAUUACUGCUUACCCCCAGGUGGUGGUAGUCCGAGUACCAACACCUUGGGUCCAAAGUGACAGUGAUAUCACAGUCCUUCGCCAUCUAGAGAAGAUGGGCUGUCGGUUAAUGAAUCGUCCCCAGGCCAUCCUCAACUGUGUCAAUAAGUUCUGGACGUUUCAAGAACUUGCUGGUCAUGGUGUGCCCCUGCCAGAUACCUUUUCUUAUGGUGGUCAUGAGAAUUUUGCCAAAAUGAUUGAUGAGGCGGAAGUGCUGGAGUUCCCUAUGGUGGUGAAGAACACGCGGGGUCACCGAGGCAAAGCUGUGUUCCUGGCACGAGACAAGCACCAUCUGGCAGACCUGAGCCAUUUGAUCCGUCAUGACGCCCCAUACUUAUUUCAAAAAUAUGUUAAAGAGUCCCAUGGCAAGGAUGUACGUGUCAUCGUAGUAGGAGGCCGUGUGGUGGGCACCAUGCUCCGUUGCUCUACAGAUGGGAGAAUGCAGAGUAACUGCUCACUUGGUGGUGUAGGGAUGAUGUGCUCACUGAGUGAACAAGGCAAGCAACUGGCAAUCCAAGUGUCCAACAUCCUGGGGAUGGACGUGUGUGGCAUUGACCUACUGAUGAAGGACGACGGUUCAUUCUACGUCUGUGAGGCCAAUGCAAAUGAACCAAAAAAGUCAAACAAGUCAGAGAAAACUUUUCCUUCUCUCCUUUCUGAUGACAAGAAUGAGAACUUAUGAAAAGUCCUUGAGAAUGUUCCUUCCUAAACUUUUCCUCACAGUAAUGCAAGCGGGUAAAAUGGUAAACGCUGCAGUUUGGUGACGUCUAAAACCACCCUGUUGUCAGGAAUGUAGCGCUUGUGAAAGAUACUGGAUCAACAGUUGCAGAGACUGAACUCCUCUACCUGCAAGAAAGGUAACAGUAUCUAGAUUCCAGCUUUAGAACACUGCAUCUUGCUUCCUGAUCUGGAAAGGCAUUUCCCAAAGUCAGAAGAUGAGUUUGGCACCCAUUACUAAGUUUUCAGUGUGUCUAUAAUGCAAAUAUUAAGGAAGCUAGAUAGAUGUUAGUUGCAGAGAUUUUUAUUAUGAUGACUGCUUGAAUUUCUGCUACUCAAUUUUGGGAAAAAGCAACUAACAUUUCAGUGAUUUGUUUCUCUAGGUUGUUUUUUCUUUUUUUCACCAGUAAGAGACAUAUUCUCCCUCUUUUGGGGACACUUGUUUCUUGAUAAUGUCUCUUCCAUAGUGGAAGAAAGAAAGGAUUAACCAGCAGCAAUGUAGAAUGGGAUGAUGUCCAGGCUUGGACUAACAGUCAUAAUGAGCACCAUCUUGCUAACUUCAAGAUCUGAAUAAAAGUUACGUGUUCUAAUUCAUGAGAGUGUCCAGUUCUUCAUGUUAUCUUCUGUGAUAGCCUUUCUUCAAGUGCUGCUUAACUUCAGAAGUCUGUUAAUCUUGCACUUUUUAUUCAGCUGAGCCAGAACCUGUUGGAUAUUUGCCAUUACCCUUACAUUCUAUUCCUUCAGAGAAUUCCUAAGAAUUCUGAAAUCCUUUCUAUUAGCAAUUUUCCCAGAUGCCUUGGAAGCCCUGGAUCAGGCCUUUGAUUUUAUCAGUUGUAUUGCUGAGAGUACAAGUCUUUUGUGAGUUUUUAAAGGAAAACCAUUCUAUCCUGAUAACAUUGGUGACUGCUAGGGAAAAACAGAUCUGCACCUCUAACAUAUUAGAGAUUCUUUGUUAAGGUAAUGUAUGUUUGGAUUUGAGCUGUUUGGCAGUUAUGGACAUGAGCAUGUAAAUUAAAAAUACUUUUUCUGAAAUGAGCUAAUCUUUAAAACUAUGGGCUAUAGAUCUUGUAUGUAUCCCUUUACAUUUGUUGUUAGUGAAACACUGUAAAGAAUUAGACGUCUAUCAAUACUAGUUCUAUAAUGUAAUUACUUGAAGCAUGUAUUUUAAAAAAAAUCAAUAAGUUCUUGGCUCCUGCAGUCAUUUAAUCUAUCUCUUCAGUAAGAGGGAUUUGUCUCCUUACAGUCCAUCUCGUCAUGUAUCUUGGUUAAGAGCUCUCUUUAAUAAGAGCAGUGGUCAAGAAUGUGCGAAUAACAUGCUAAAUUUUACUACUUUUUGUCUUUCCCUUGUUCCUUUGAAUUAUCAGUUGGACUUGUAUACUAGAUAUCAAUACCUUGAUAUUCAUAAUUUGUAUAUUACUUUUUUGAGUGUUAAACAGUACAGUGGAAACUGCAUGUUAAUAUGUCUUUGAUGUUAGCACUGACUUGUGCUGUGAUUGUUAGGAAGAGCUGGUACUAACAGUUCACUUUGCACUUUUGUUGAAUUUCCUCUUAAGUGGAAUUGUGUUUUUGUGCUGGCUACAGAAAUUGAACAUUUGCAAAACUCUGAUAUGCUUAGGGUUAUGAAGUUUUGUAGUGGCGUAUGUUUGUAUCAGUACCAUGCAGGGAGAAAGGUUGUAAAUUUGUUUGCUAUAAGCCUUUGAAAACUUCUGUAACUUGAGCAUUCUCAGUUGUGCAAGAUUUAAGCUGACAGCUGUACUUUUAUGACAAUCUUUUGUAUUUUCCUGGUCAUUUCCUUUAUUUUUUGUUUUAUCACCUUGAUUGCUUCUCCAAUGCAUACUUUCCACCUCUGUACAGCUUGGUUUAUUACUCUGUUUAUCUCUAGGUUAUCUCAAGCUCUAGGUAUCAGACUAGAACUACUCAUCAUCAAAUCAUCUUCCCUUCAACUUUCUCAUCCCAUGCAGACAUCACUUCAACAUUUUUCCAGACAUACUACUUUGGAGGGCUUCCUCUGUUGAGGUGGUAAUGACAUUGAGAGAAGGAAGAGUGUGCAAUACAGUGACAAAGCUGACUCAAAAAUCUCAAAGGUGGAAUCCAUGGGCAAAUAGACUGCUGUUCUCUACUUUCUCUGCACCUCCCCUGUUUAGCUGUUGGUGUACACGUAUGUACAUGUUGGUGUACAGUGUGAAAUGUGAAAUAGCCAUUUGAUUCCUUCUUGUUUUGCCCAGUCCUGUACUUCCUUGCAUGAGAAAUGGGAGUCACUGUCACUUUGGAUGACAUCAGGGGUAGAUAAAUUUUUAAACUCAGAUGUUAAUCCUCCAAUUGUAUUUUGCCUACGUGCUUUCUGAUGCUUGGUUGCUACAAGGAAACCAGAAGCUAUUUUCACUUCUGUAAGGUCAUACCAAUAGCCUGCUGAGGAUAUGACUGGUCCAGUGUUAGUCAUGAUUAGCCACGUAGACCAUAACGUUUUCCCUCAUGGAUGUGUAGGGUUGGUGCCUUAGCAGGAUGAUUUGUUUGCAGUUUCAAUCUACACUGGGGUCAUUCUGUAAGAAUAACUUCACAAGUUUUCCUGUUUAUAGGUUUGCCUCUACUCUGUGCAGCUAUGUGCUUCCUUACCUGUGUGACCUCCGUUCUGAUGUAACCAUUCUACCAACUGAUUUCACUUAGGAUCUAAGACAAUUUUUCUAACUCUUGUUAACUCAUCCACUGUUACAUUCUAUUUUGUGGCUGGCUGAUUAUCCUUAGCAUGGGCUUUUACCUACCUAAUAUUAAAAGGUGUUUUCCUGGCCAUGCCUAGUAAUAAUUGCCAAUUCUUUUUCCUGCAUACUAGGGAUCUAUUUACUUCCCAGUUCAGGGCUUCCCAUUGACAGAGACACUAUGUGUCACAAGCCCACAUAGUAUAAGAAUCUACAUGUAUGAUUUUUGCUCCAUUGUGUGCUGCUUGGACAGCUGCUCUUAUUUUUCCUAUUUGUGUGCUACCUUCACAUUCCUCUAUUUCUUGCUUGCCAGUGGUAAUAUCCAAUGCAGCAGCUUUAUAUUGCUGUUUGCCAUUUUCCCUGUUGACUGAGGCCACGUGUUUUCUGUUGGUAUGCCUCAGUAAGGUGCAUUUCAAUUGGUGAAGGCUUAAAGAUAGCUGUAAUGCUAAAGAUAAGUGUUUAUAUGCAUCUAUCAUUUGAAAACUUUACUGUAUCUUUCAGCUAAUUUCUGGAUGGUAUGUUUUUGUGCAAUUCCUUUUCAGGGAGCAGUCCCCUUCAGGAUUACUUCCAUUCUGAUUUGUACAGGCUGUUCCUUACAUAUUUUCUCAACUUGCUUAACUGCUCAGACUAAAGAUGAUAGAAAUCUUUUUUUUUCCUGCUCAGAAUAUUGUUGUUCUGUUUUCUUUAAAUGUGGUUGAACAAAACAGUCAAGAUCUUUUUCACCCCCUGGGGCCAGUUUGGAACAGUAAGUAGCAUGUUCAACAAAACUCCAUUCAGCUAUAGCAGUGUUGAAGGGUUGUAUUGACCUAGUGACUGAUAUAUUUUUAACUCUUUAGUUAGAGUUUUAACUGCCUCUCUAUGUUCUAAUUUCCACUCCCAUGGCUUGCCUUUCUGUAGGGGUGAGUACAAUGGAUAGGAAAUGAUAGAAAAUCCAGGUACGUUUCCUCUAAUACCCUAAAGUUCCCAUUAACUGUUGUAAUUCCUUCCUUGAUUGAGCUCUACAAUUUUUCAUAGAGUAUCUGGAGGAAUCACUGCAUUAUUAUCAAUCAAGUAUCUUAAAUUUUUACUUCUUUACUUGGUUCCUUACAUUUUCCAGGUGGAAUCUCAACUCCUGCUUUAUCUAGUGUUUGCCAUACUACUGCUGCCACUUUGAAGUCCCUUCUAUUAUAAUAUCAUCUAUAUAUCAUUCUGAGGAAGUGAGAUUGUCUAUAGAAGUUCAGUGAGUCCAGCAUGAGCAAUUGUGGGAGAAUGCUUGUACUCCCAUGUGAGUCUGUAAAAGAUAUAUUGUAUUCCCUCCCAAGUGAAAACAAACUUUUAUUAAUCUUCUUCCUGCAAAGGAGCUGUAAAAAACAUAUUCUUUACAUCAAAAGCUGUCAUCCAUGGUUGUGGUUGCAAAGUAGCUGUUAAGUUUGUGGUGUUUGAGAUAGCAGCAGCUAGGAGGGCUGUAUUAGCAUUUAGGUGCCAAUAAUUGAUUGUUAAUCGCCCCCUCCCAUCUGCUUUCUGGACUGGCCAGACAGACGAGUUAUAUGGGGAGGGAGUUCUGGAGGGAAUUUGUCUUUUCUUCCAAUCUGCUUUAACUUCAGAAACUGCAUUUCAUACUGCAGUAGAAAUAAAGUAUUGCAAUCCAUUAGUGAUCUUAGAUUCAGGGAGUGCAGGGGCUGUGUGAACUGUACACACUGCAGCACCCCUAUCCCUUUGGUGUUCAAGAUUGUUAUUUGAACCAAAAGAUGUACGCUGCCUUUUGGCUGGCAUUAGAUUCACCCAUCGAGGACAUCAAAUCCUAAAAUAUUUUCAUGAUGGUUUUUAAUUGCAAAGUGAGUAGGUGAUGCACAUUUCUCACCUGGGAGUUAUAAGUUGACCCUAGUGGAUUGACAACAGCACUCGUGCCAUUCACGCCAGUAAUCUUAACCCUUUGUUAUCCAGAUUACACUUCUUGGCAUGUUGCUAUGUUAGUAUUGAAAUUUGGACUCCCGUGUCUAUUAGAAAUGUCACCAAUUGUCUUUGAGGACUGAUUGGUCUCAAUAUGUAUGAGCCAUCAUAGUUUAUUCAUUGAUAUGUCUCCACUUGUCAGACAAGCAGACCCAAUUGCUAGCCGCCCAUUACUUGUCUUUUUUUUCCUCAUGCCCUUUGAUUCUUCUUAGGGAAUGAGGAGAUUAUCUCACUUUCUCUGAACCGGUGUUGAAGAAGCUGACAUACAUUCCUUUCUUUCACUACCACUCAAUCUGUAUCACUAUGCCCGUGUCAUUUCUGAAAUGCUUCAGUCAGACCCAAUAUAAUGCUAGUAGGCUCACUAUGCGUUGCAUCUCUGGUAAUGCCCAGAGCUAAUGCCCUUUUCCAUAAGUCGGUUCUCUAUCCUCAAGAUCUUGUUAGCACAUUUUCAAAUUUAUUUCCUUUUGGUUUACCCACUGUUCCUUGUUCCACAGAUCCCACCUUAUGAUCUCCACCCCAGAACUUUAAACUUUGUCUGCCAGUUCAUCCUCCCAGCCCAUGACUGUAGUUAACUGUGCCAUGCAUUAAUUCUUCCCAUGUAGGGAGUUGAUUAAAGGUAUUGUAUGCAUUGUUAUCUUGUACUGAAUUAUGUUCUGUGUCUCUUGAUCACAUUCUGUUUUGCAGCUAGAUGGGAUUUAAGGAUAGCUGAGGCUCCUCUAAUUAGUGAUUUAAGCACUAUUAAAUCUAAUGAACAGAUAAUGGCACGUCAUGGGCCCCUCCUUCUUGUAAUACUUUUUUGCAAGUUACUUUUGUGAAGACUGUGAGGAGCUCACUUAAGAGAUUUAAUGGGAAUUACCAGGAGUUCACUUCACUCCAUGGGGCCUAUUCCCCCAGCCCUAUAAGCUACAUGGCUGGUGAUAGGGUGAAGUGUAUCUGCAGGCCCAGGUCUUAAAUUUAAGAAAACUCAUGGUGCGUAGUAGUUAUUUGCUUCAUUCAGACUCUUCGUAAUAUGGUCUCCAUCACUUAAGCAUACUUGCCACAAGUAUUCUGUUUUUCUCUGCUAUAUCUCCAUUGGAACUUUGUCAAUUGUAAUGGAUCCUAGGGGCAGUUCUCAUAGUAUAUUGUGGCUGACCACCUUGGGGUGAUGUAGAUUGGUUUGCUUAGCAACAGGGAUUAGAACAUUAGUUUAAGAACCAAUAUAUUAGUUUAACAGAAGGAAUUAGUAAAUUGAUAGUUCUGAAACUUUCCAUUUCAGCUUUAGUGGGUGAACAGUCUUGUUUUUCCUAAAUAAUUUUGCACUGCGGACAUAAUAGAAUAUACGUUUAUCUUCUGCCUCAAUGAUUUUGCCUCAUGAGAAGUGCUGGAAUCACAACAGAAUACUUUUAUUUUUUGCCUCAAAACGUGCAAGGGCAUUUUGAUUUUGUUCUACAUAGAUUGUUUAAAAAAGUGGCUCACUAUGGCCUAAUAAGCAAUGGAAAUUAUUCAAACUGGGGAUAAGUGCAUGGAAAUGAAUCAAAGGUUUCAGUGAUGAAGCUGGUGGUGGAAAAAAGUGGAAGUAGGUGGGCACUCGACUACUGUAAAUACCACUGAGCAUACCCAAAGGGACAUGUGCACACAUCUAUGAGACCUUGAAAAAGAAUGCAUAUGUGUUGCAGUGUACUGCUUGUGUAUGUCUUAACUGUAUAAAUAGAACCUGAACUCUGAAAGGGUAUGCUUGCUUGUCAAGUUGCCCAAUGUGCAUCAUGAGGAAUAAAAGGAAUGUUGCUUUCUAACACCACAUAGGAGUUAGAGAGUUUUCUUCCUGGAUUUCGGAUGACAAUUUUAGCAACCCAGAUGGGACAGUGAGACUGAAAUCUCAUGGACCAAAGGGGCCUCUGUUCAGCGCACAUCCUGAGUGAUUCUCUGGGAGAUCCCGCAAAUCCCAGCUCUGUCAGGACCAGCCACAAGUUCCCUGGAAUAGGACAGUACCAAAGGACUUGGAAAAUGCUGUAAUACCAUGGAUCGAAUCAUCAGAGACACCCAGACAACCGAGAUGAGCUGAACCAGCAACGGUAACUAUCUAGCUGAUGCCAGGAGCAGCACCGGUAAGAUGAAAUGUUUUCUUGCGAACUAAAGACCCUAGAGCCUUUGACAGAGUAUUUUAACUUGCUAAACAGCUGCAUGAAGACUUAAAAGGAGAAAUGGAAAACCUAAUGUGGACACUGGAAUGUGGAAGUCCUUCAGAGUCCUUAAGUUAAAAAGCCCUUGUUUAGAAACUGUAGCAGCUACAAUCUUGCUUGUACAGGAGGCCAGAAAAUUGACCCUGGGAAACAGAAUAACUUUGUAUAUUCCCUGUAUGGUUACUGCAGUACUGAAUCAAUCUAAAGAAAAUUUGUUGGCCAUCUCUGAGCAGGAUCAUGAAGUACAAAGUGUUCCUGGUAGAAUGAGAGGAAAUGAGAUUAAAGAUAUGAAAAUGUUUGUUGAUGAUAGCAGUUUUGUGUGAGAUGGCUUAGGAAGGCCAGGUAUGCUGAAACAACCAGAGAUAAAAUAAUAGGCUGGUUCUCUGGCACUACCACCUCAGCAGAGAAAGCAGAACUCGCAGCCUUGUUAAGAGCACUGGAGUUAGCAAAAGGGAAUAAGUGCCAAUAUUUGGACAGACUUAAAAUUUGCAUUUGGGAUUGUGCAUAUGGAUGGUGCUAUCUGGAAAGAACAGAGGCUAUUAAUCUCCCAAGGAAUACCUGUAAAAUAUGGAGAAACAAUAAUAAAACUGUUAGACCAAAGGAAAUAGCUAUAAAACACUGCGAAGCCCACCAGUCAAACAUCAGUUAUAUCAAUAUGGGCAACAGUAGUUCAGAUACAGCUGCCAAAAAUGCAGCAGAAGGAGCUUUCUUCCAACUCAUAACCCUGAGAUAUCAAAGACUGAUGAAUGAACAUCCGAAAUACCAGACAGAAGUUGAAAAACUAGCUUUCUUGCUAAAAACUGAGAAAACAAAGCAGGAUGGUGGGCAACUCCAAACAACCAAGUAAUAGUUCCCCAACCAGUAAGGAGGAAAAUAGUAGAGGAUAAUCAAACUAUAUGCUGGGCGUCAGAUGCUAUCAUCAAUAGUCUAAGACUCAAAUUUUAAGUGUGUGAAUGGGAGAAAUUGUGAAAAGCAUGGUGAGCAAAGUGUGAAGUAUGCCUGAAAUAUAAUCCACACAAUACAAAAAGACCACCUCCUGGAGUUACAAGGAGAGGAUGCAGCCCAGGAAACUAUUGGCAGAUAGACUAUUCUGAGCUAACAUGAAAAGCUGGCUACAGAUACUUACUGGUAUUGGUUGAUACUUUUUCAGGACGACCAGAGGCUGAUUGCUGUCACACCAAUGAAGCAAGAGAAGUAGUAAAGGUUAUGCUAAAAGAUGUUAUCUCUAAUUUGGGGUACUAAAAUGGAUAUCAUCAGAUAGAGGUUCAUAUUUUGUAGCUGAAAUUGUUCAAAACCUAGGAAAAAUCAUUGGAAUAGAAUGAGGUUUGCAUACUCUUUAAAGGCUGCAGUCUAGUGAAAAGAUGGAAAAAAUGAAUAAUAAUAUAAAAAAAAAUUAGUAAAAUCUGUUAAGAAACAGACUUGAAAAGGCCUGAGGCUCAACCUCUCACCUUACUAUAUGUUCUGAUAAAACAGCAUGCUGAAGAGAAAAUUAGUCCUUACGAAAUUAUGUAUGGAAGACCAUUUCAGGUAUUGGUGGCUAGUAUUAAUGUAAACCAAUUAGGUGAACUAAAGCUAAGAGAAUGUCAUCUCUUUGGGAAAAGUCCUAUCUUCUAUCCACAGGUUUGUGGCUCCAGUGGCACCAGCACCUCUGGGAGUCAUAGCACAUCCAUUCCAACUCGGUGAGUGGGUGUAUCUAUGGACUUGGAGCUCCGAACCACUACAGGAGAAGUGGAAAGGACCAUAUCAAAUACUACUGGCAAUGCACACUGCUGUCAAAGUGGCAGGAGUAGACUCUUGAAUUCAUUACAGAAAAACAGAAAGUGCACAACCCACAGUGGCAAGUAGAACAGACUGCACUGAUGAAACUGAAAUUUUCAUGUAUAUGAAUACAACUUGAAAAACGGGGAAAUGAAAAAUCAUUUUAUGAACUUGAAUAUAGUUAUUGAGAUACAGUUACUUUUAGAGUAACUAAAUUGUUUGUCUUAUAUUGACUGCAUUAAUUGUUUGCUUAUAUUAAUUGUUUGGGGAAAAAAACACCUCUUUUGCAAUUCUUAAGGGAUAUAUAUUUUGUUUGUCUAAAACAAUAAUAAUUUUUGCAAUAUGUACUUAUUGCUUAUCAAUUGCAUGCAUGGGAUCAAAAUAAGCACAUGAAAUUGAUGAAAAAGGGGGCUGACGCUAACAGUUCUGGUUCUUGUUGGAUAUGCUCAGAAUUGCCAAAAUAUGAGACAAAUCCAUACCCAUUGUGAGGAUUACCACUACCAAAACUACCAAAACAGAGUUGGGACACAGUAUUUGUUAACAUCCAUAGCGUACUUUGCAGAUAGAUAUGAAGAAUUACAAACAUGGAUUGUAGGAAUUCAGCCUAUGAAUGAUACCAUUUGUCUGACAGAUGCAGACUAGUCAAGUAGGGAAGGCUCCAGUAGGAAAAUACCCACACUAUAAAUGCACUAUAAAUGAUAAAUAAGUAUUUUGGGAAAAAAAAAAAAAAAAAAAAAAAACAACAACCAAAAACAGGAAUAAAUAUUGGAUCUCAGCUAAAAGGAAAGAUACUGGCUAUGUGGAGAUCGAGCUUGGAGGGUAUUAACUUCAUGGUAAAUCAUGACUUGUACUCUAGGAAUGGUAAUACCAUAGAUGAUAGUAGCAAAUCAGUUAUCUGGGGUAAUACAGGCCUGAGUACUCUCCAAAGUCAAGAGAGAAGUCUUUAAUCCGUUAAUAGAAAAACCUAAUAGUUUUCAUUCAUUCGUUAAGUGCUUUAUUCCCUCUUUAGAAGUUGCAGAAAGGGCCAUCAGCACAUAUCUAUGAGAAAAAUCUUUUCUUGAAAAAGAAUGAAUGUGUAUGCCAAUGUACUGCAUUGUACUUCCAGGCCCCCCUACUUCUUCCUCAAGGGGAUCUCUGGGUCUCGGGCCCUUUUCCAGCGCUGCAACAGUAACAGCUGCUAUUGUUUUUUCCAAUUUCCUUGCUCCUCAAUCAAUUUUCCAGAUCCCUCAUCUCUCUUCUGGGUCCUGACAUCCCUGUUACACUUUGCUCAUCUCUGCGUUCCUCAGCCUGUUUCUUUCCGAAACCUUUUUCACUUUCCAAACUUUCAUAAUUACAAAAACAUAUCAUUAACAGUUACACUUUCAUAUACCAUCAAAACAGUUUUUCCCCUUCCUUCAAAAUCAUGAGUCAAGCAAUUCAAUUCUUCAACUUAGUCUCACAAUUAGGAUACUCAGUUAUAAGAACUGGUUCUGUUACUUAAUUUAUGUUCUCAGUUUCUUUCUCAGGGUCUUCCCUGGCUCACCAGCGAUGUCCUUCUAGUGAGCUAAAAUACAACUCAGAGGGGUGUUUUUUGGAAUUUUCUUAGAUGCUCUCUAUCCAGUGAUAACCUUUUAUAUUUGUCCAGUUCUAAUUGCAGAUGAAAGUCCUUCAUGCGUGGCUGGGUAAUGGAGUCUACCUGCUUCCCCAGGGUACAGUAUCAGAUCGAAUUCAUUAUCCAAGAGCCAUAACCAACAUCCCCCAGCAAGACAGGAAUUUUUAAACGAGGAAUGUAUUUCCACAACUAUCACUUUCACAGCACAAGCAUUUAACAAUCUGCAGGACAAUAACAAAAAUCAAUAUAGUUGCCACAACCAAGAAAACCAGUUCAGACAUUUACUCUUUCCACGUGUUUCCACCUGUCACAUAUGUGCAGUGACACAUUUUAUUCCAGACUGUAAAUGUCCUACCCAAUACAGCUGCUGUGCCAGGGCCUUACCCAGUUAACUUUCAGAGAGAUUGAUGAUCUGUGUCCCAUGCCAAAAAAUUAUGGUUUUGGUGCCUUCAGGACUGAUACAUGGUUUUAUGGCUGUGCACUAUGUGGUGCCCACCAGGCUUAUGUGUACAUCUCUAAGGCUUUAUUCAGAAAAAAUAAUCCAGACUUAAGGAAUAUCUUUGUCCAGAGGGUCUUGUCAGUUCCCAUAGUGAUCCACCUGAGAGUUGGAGUUCUUUCUGGACAAGCUGCCAGCAGGCCCAAGGAGUCCGCCUCUCAGAGGGUCCCACAGCUAAGCUGAGUCUCUUGCCUGGCUUAUCAAUUAAAGCUGAGAAAUCCAACAUUAACUUGACACAACAGUGAGUUAUGUUAAGCAUGUAUUUCUUCGUUACAGUGCUGGGUGCAUGGGGGAUCACUCCACCCAACCUGCACAGUGAGGAAAUUGGCGACAACACAUUUGUGGGUAUAGCGUGUAUGUAUUCAUUACAUUUCUGAGAAAUUGGUUACAUACGCAUUGGAUUUCUGAGUACUUGUUAACAUGUUGUCCUACUCUUCUGAGCAUGUGUCAUAAAAUGUGGGGAAGAUCUACGAGCCCCAUCUGGUGGUUGUUGGAUGAAGACUAGUAAUCAUCCUCGCUGUGAACUUCUUACCUUCGGGGGGUGUUGCAGCCCAGACUGGUUUCUGCUGGUACUGUGCUGAGGCAUCUGUUCUGCUUUCUUAUCUUUACUUGACCGCAGGUUCUCUUGGCCUCUGCAUUCUGUCCUUAAGCCUAUAUUUAUAAGUGUUCUGUCCUUCAGCUAAUGUCUGCACAAGUUACGUGAUAAAGUUGUUCAUUGUUCCUGAUUCACCUAACGCUGCACUUCUUUUUUACAUUGGAAGAGUGUUCAGGAUGGAGAUGGCACUGAACUGAUGCAUGAGAAGUAUUCUUAGAGCUUGCCUAUUGUGUUUGUUCAUGCUGUUUCUUUUUUUGCAGAAAUGGUUUUAUCACAAGCAUCUAGUGCUGUAGUGACUUAUGUUUGAAUGACGUAUUUAAAGGUGAAAGAUGUGUGCAGAAGUCACUUCUAACUAUGCUUGCUUGCUUUGGAUCAUAUUUUGCUAAGUGCAUUCUAGAUCCAUUAACUACACGUAAAGUGGAAGCACUUGACAAUUAAAAAAUAUAUAUAUAGACAAAGAUAUCUUAGUCAUAUAUUAACAAAUGCAAUACAAAUCAGAGAUCCUUUUUUUUUUUUUUUUUUUUUUUUUUAAAUUUCUGUUGAUAUACAUAGAAUAACAGGAUAGAAGAUGACAUAUCUUACCACAUUUUAAUAGAGCUAGUUCAUCUGUAAGUAAAUAAGUCAGUUUUGAUGGGUGAAAACAUAUCCAAAAGGUUUGAGUUAGUUUUCUUGAGUUUCUGUUUCCCUCUGCUGGACUGUAGUUAGAACUGCCAACCUUUUUUUUUUUUUUUUUUUUUUUUUUUUUUUUUUUUUCUUCUCACAAUCAAUCUUCUAAGGUUACUGCUUCCUACUGCUUGCUUCCUUGUACUUCCAGGUGAAACACUUGAACAGUCUUCUUUGGUGGCCACAUCAAUAGGGCUGAUCAACUUAUUUUGUAAUAAUAUCUUUAAAUAAAUACCGCAAAUAAAUACAAGUUUGAAACAGUAAGGAAAAGACACAAAGACACUUAGAAAUAUUUUAAGAUGAAACUAAAAUAUUUCCUUGAAAUAUUAAAUAUUAAAAUGAAUGAUUCCAAUAUAAUUAUCAACUGAAAUAAAAUUGAUGUAAUUGAUUUUAUUCUCCAUGGUGUCAAGUAUUAGCUGGAGUUUUUCUUUUAGGUGGAAGUUACAACUACAACGACAGCUAGGAAAAUAUGAACUGGACAUGGGAAGAAACUGUGAAAGUAAUGUAGCACAGGAGCAGGUAUCUGAAGGGAGUGUGGAAUCUCCAGACCCAGACAAUGUUGAGAUUUAGCUGGUCUGGAGUAACCUGCACUAGAUAUCAAGUUGGCUCUGCUUUAAAGCAGUACAAUGGACUAGAAUGACUUGCCUGUUUUACUGUGUGUGAUAUGCAGGCUAACUGAUCUGGAGUGUAGGCAGGCUGAAGAGAUGAAGUAACAAAACUUUCAAAGUCUCCUGCUUUUAUUCAACCAGAGUAAGAUAGUAAUACUUUGCUAUAGCUCCAAAUAAUAAUACUUUUUGAAAAUUCAUAUUACUGUCUGGCAUGAUGAGCUAGUGUGGUUUAUAAAACAUGUCUGAACAUUUAUUAUACUCAUAUGCAUG
Molecule: RNA transcript, 14706 nt
Organism: Tympanuchus pallidicinctus (lesser prairie-chicken)
Lineage: Eukaryota; Metazoa; Chordata; Aves; Galliformes; Phasianidae
Gene: RIMKLB
Gene name: ribosomal modification protein rimK like family member B
Exons: 10
Source: RefSeq, a predicted model, not a curated record